RNAcentral lists this ribosomal RNA (279 nucleotides) under uncultured bacterium. RNAcentral's name for it is "partial 16S ribosomal RNA". It matches the Rfam family "Bacterial small subunit ribosomal RNA", at positions 506 to 784 of the family's 1533-position model. The record is from RNAcentral.
UGCCAGCAGCCGCGGUAAUACGAAGGGUGCUAGCGUUGUUCGGAAUUACUGGGCGUAAAGAGCAUGUAGGCGGAUGAAUUAGUCAGAGGUGAAAGCCCCGAGCUCAACUUGGGAACUGCCUUUGAUACUGUUUAUCUAGAGUCCGAGAGAGGUUAGUGGAAUUCCCAGUGUAGAGGUGAAAUUCGUAGAUAUCAGGAGGAACACCGAUGGCGAAGGCAUCUCUCUGGGUCGAUAUUGACGCUGAGGCGCGAAAGCUAGGGGAGCAAACGGGAUUAGAUA